UACGAAGGGGGCUAGCGUUGUUCGGAAUUACUGGGCGUAAAGCGCGCGCAGGCGGCUUCUCAAGUCAGGGGUGAAAGCCCAGAGCUCAACUCUGGAACUGCCCUUGAAACUGUGGAGCUUGAGUACGGGAGAGGUGAGUGGAAUUCCCAGUGUAGAGGUGAAAUUCGUAGAUAUUGGGAAGAACACCGGUGGCGAAGGCGGCUCACUGGCCCGUUACUGACGCUCAGGCGCGACAGCGUGGGGAUCAAACAG
Molecule: ribosomal RNA, 252 nt
Filed under: uncultured bacterium
Lineage: Bacteria
Description: partial 16S ribosomal RNA
Rfam family: Bacterial small subunit ribosomal RNA
Source: RNAcentral